Molecule: transfer RNA, 72 nt
Organism: Aurantimonas manganoxydans SI85-9A1
Lineage: Bacteria; Pseudomonadati; Pseudomonadota; Alphaproteobacteria; Hyphomicrobiales; Aurantimonadaceae
Rfam family: tRNA
About the family: Transfer RNA (tRNA) molecules are approximately 80 nucleotides in length. Their secondary structure includes four short double-helical elements and three loops (D, anti-codon, and T loops). Further hydrogen bonds mediate the characteristic L-shaped molecular structure. tRNAs have two regions of fundamental functional importance: the anti-codon, which is responsible for specific mRNA codon recognition, and the 3' end, to which the tRNAs corresponding amino acid is attached (by aminoacyl-tRNA synthetases). tRNAs cope with the degeneracy of the genetic code in two manners: having more than one tRNA (with a specific anti-codon) for a particular amino acid; and 'wobble' base-pairing, i.e. permitting non-standard base-pairing at the 3rd anti-codon position.
Source: Rfam
GGGCGCGUAGCUCAGCGGGAGAGCACCUCGUUCACACCGAGGGGGUCACAGGUUCAAUCCCUGUCGCGCCCA